GGCGCUGCUUGGGCGUCUGCCGCCGCGCGUCCUCCUCGUCCUCGUCCUCCCACAUGGGCAUGGAGAUGGAGUAGUGCAGGAUCAGCGUCCAGAUGAGCCCCAGGAUCAGCUUCAGGUUGCCGUCCACGAUGGCCUUGCUGUCUGCGGGGGGGGGCAGCGGGGCAUCAUCAGCCCCCGGGGGCGCGGGGACGCGGCACGGGCACGGGGAGGCGACACCGCUGGGGCACGGGGUGCGGGGACAUGGCACAGGGACAUGGCGCUGCUGGGGCAUGGGGACACGGCACAGGGACGCGGCACUGCCGGGGCACGGGGACACAGCACCGGGAUGCGGCACCGUCAGGGACACAAGUGCCAUCCUGGGCACAGGGACGCGGCCCCGUCGGCACACAGGGUGCGGGAACGCAACACAAGCACACAGCAUUGUCGGGGACACAGCGCCAUCCUGGGCACGGGGACGCGGUACUGUCAGGGACAUGGGGCCACCAGGGGUGCGGGGCACAGGGACACGGCACUGUCAGAGCACAGGGUGCGGGGACGCAGCAUCGUCAGGAACAGGCUGCCAUCCURGGCAGAGACACAGCACCAUUGGGGACAGGGAGCCAUCGGGGUGCAGGGACACGGUGCCAUCCUGGGCACAGGGACACAGCACCAUCAGGGACGCGGUGCCAUCAGGGCCACGGGGCACAGGGACAUGGCAGCGUUGGGGACGCGGUGCCAUCAGGGGUGCAGGGCACAGGAACACAGCACCAUCGGGGCAUGGGGUGUGGGGACGUGGCACAGGCACAUGGCACUGUCAGAGACGCCAUGCCAUCGGGGCCAUGGGGCACAGGGACACGGCGCCAUCGGGGAAGACAGUGCCAUCAGGGGCACAGGGACACGGUGCCAUCCUGGGCAAAGGGACAUGGCACUGCUGGGGACACGGUGCCACCAGGGGCACAGGGACAUGGCACCAUCGGGGAACACAGUGCCAUCAGUGGCACAGGGACAUGGUACCAUCCUGGGCAAAGGGACACGGCACUGCUAGGGACACGGUGCCAUCGGGCACAGGGACACGAUGCCAUCCUGGGCACAGGGACGUGGCACUGCUGGGGACACAGUGCCAUCAGGGGCACAGGGACACGG
Molecule: long non-coding RNA, 1122 nt
Filed under: Apteryx haastii (Great spotted kiwi)
Lineage: Eukaryota; Metazoa; Chordata; Aves; Apterygiformes; Apterygidae
Description: lncRNA (ENSAHAG00000008791.1)
Source: RNAcentral